Molecule: ribosomal RNA, 400 nt
Filed under: uncultured bacterium
Lineage: Bacteria
Description: bacterial SSU rRNA
Rfam family: Bacterial small subunit ribosomal RNA
Source: RNAcentral
GAGUUUGAUCAUGGCUCAGGACGAACGCUGGCGGCGUGCUUAACACAUGCAAGUGGAGCGACGAACCGGGGCUUGCCCCGGGGCAGAGCCGCGAACGGGUGAGUAACACGUGGGUAACCCACCUCGAUGACUGGGACAACCCGAGGAAACUCGGGCUAAUACCGGAUGUGAUCCUCUUUCGUAAGGAAGAUGAUGAAAGAUAGCUUCGGCUUUCGCAUCGAGACGGGCCCGCGGCCCAUUAGCUUGUUGGUGGGGUAAUGGCCUACCAAGGCUUCGAUGGGUAGCUGGUCUGAGAGGACGAUCAGCCACACUGGGACUGAGACACGGCCCAGACUCCUACGGGAGGCAGCAGUGGGGAAUCUUGCGCAAUGCGCGAAAGCGUGACGCAGCAACGCCGCGU